GGCAAGGUCCAUACCAUGUUGAAUGCACUGGUUCUCGUUCGAUCACCAAAGUUAAGCAGCAUCGGGCGCGGUCAGUACUUGGAUGGGUGACCGCUUGGGAACACCGCGUGUCCUUGCCUUUC
RNAcentral lists this ribosomal RNA (122 nucleotides) under Cephus cinctus (wheat stem sawfly). Lineage: Eukaryota; Metazoa; Arthropoda; Insecta; Hymenoptera; Cephidae. The record is from RNAcentral.